GGAAGUAAAAGUCGUAACAAGGUCUCCGUAGGUGAACCUGCGGAGGGAUCAUUACACAAUAAAAUAUGAAGGCUGUACGCGGCUGUGCUCUCGGGCCAGUUUUGCGGAGGCUGAAUUAUUUAUUACCCUUGUCUUUUGCGCACUUGUUGUUUCCUGGGCGGGUUCGCCCGCCACCAGGACCACAUCAUAAACCUUUUUUAUGCAGUUGCAAUCAGCGUCAGUAUAACAAAUGUAAAUCAUUUACAACUUUCAACAACGGAUCUCUUGGUUCUGGCAUCGAUGAAGAACGCAGCGAAAUGCGAUACGUAGUGUGAAUUGCAGAAUUCAGUGAAUCAUCGAAUCUUUGAACGCACAUUGCGCCCUUUGGUAUUCCAAAGGGCAUGCCUGUUCGAGCGUCAUUUGUACCCUCAAGCUUUGCUUGGUGUUGGGCGUUUUUUGUCUUUGGUUGCCAAAGACUCGCCUUAAAAGGAUUGGCAGCCGGCCUACUGGUUUCGCAGCGCAGCACAUUUUUGCGCUUGCAAUCAGCAAAAGAGGACGGCAAUCCAUCAAGACUCCUUCUCACGUUGA
This 567-nucleotide ribosomal RNA is filed under the name Curvularia lunata. RNAcentral's name for it is "eukaryotic LSU rRNA". The stretch from base 245 to 398 matches the Rfam family "5.8S ribosomal RNA". Lineage: Eukaryota; Fungi; Ascomycota; Dothideomycetes; Pleosporales; Pleosporaceae. The record is from RNAcentral.